RNAcentral lists this ribosomal RNA (252 nucleotides) under uncultured Ochrobactrum sp. RNAcentral's name for it is "partial 16S ribosomal RNA". It matches the Rfam family "Bacterial small subunit ribosomal RNA", at positions 86 to 355 of the family's 1533-position model. The record is from RNAcentral. Lineage: Bacteria; Pseudomonadati; Pseudomonadota; Alphaproteobacteria; Hyphomicrobiales; Brucellaceae.
GCAAGGGGAGCGGCAGACGGGUGAGUAACGCGUGGGAACGUACCUUUUGCUACGGAAUAACUCAGGGAAACUUGUGCUAAUACCGUAUGUGCCCUUCGGGGAAAGAUUUAUCGGCAAAGGAUCGGCCCGCGUUGGAUUAGCUAGUUGGUGAGGUAAAGGCUCACCAAGGCGACGAUCCAUAGCUGGUCUGAGAGGAUGAUCAGCCACACUGGGACUGAGACACGGCCCAGACUCCUACGGGAGGCAGCAGCA